Molecule: ribosomal RNA, 450 nt
Filed under: uncultured bacterium
Lineage: Bacteria
Description: partial 16S ribosomal RNA
Rfam family: Bacterial small subunit ribosomal RNA
Source: RNAcentral
GUGGGGAAUUUUGGACAAUGGGGGCAACCCUGAUCCAGCCAUUCCGCGUGAGUGAAGAAGGCCUUCGGGUUGUAAAGCUCUUUCGGCAGGAACGAAACGGUGAGCUCUAACAUAGCUCGCUAAUGACGGUACCUGAAGAAGAAGCACCGGCUAACUACGUGCCAGCAGCCGCGGUAAUACGUAGGGUGCGAGCGUUAAUCGGAAUUACUGGGCGUAAAGCGUGCGCAGGCGGUUGUGUAAGACAGGUGUGAAAUCCCCGGGCUUAACCUGGGAACUGCGCUUGUGACUGCACGGCUAGAGUAUGGCAGAGGGGGGUGGAAUUCCACGUGUAGCAGUGAAAUGCGUAGAGAUGUGGAGGAACACCGAUGGCGAAGGCAGCCCCCUGGGCCAAUACUGACGCUCAUGCACGAAAGCGUGGGGAGCAAACAGGAUUAGAUACCCCGGUAGUCC